Molecule: ribosomal RNA, 2920 nt
Filed under: Lactiplantibacillus plantarum
Lineage: Bacteria; Bacillati; Bacillota; Bacilli; Lactobacillales; Lactobacillaceae
Also listed under: 1 other name
Description: 23S ribosomal RNA
Rfam family: Bacterial large subunit ribosomal RNA
Source: RNAcentral
UUAAGUUAACAAGGGCGCAUGGUGAAUGCCUUGGCACUAGGAGCCGAUGAAGGACGGGACUAACACCGAUAUGCUUCGGGGAGCUGUACGUAAGCUAUGAUCCGGAGAUUUCCGAAUGGGGCAACCCAGCAGUUUUAAUCAACUGUUACCACUAGAUGAAUUCAUAGUCUAGUUGGAGGUAAACGCUGUGAACUGAAACAUCUCAUUAGCAGCAGGAAUAUAAAGAAAUUUCGAUUCCCUAAGUAGCGGCGAGCGAACGGGGAACAGCCCAAACCAAAGUGCUUGCACUUUGGGGUUGUAGGACUGAACAUUUGAGUUACCAAAGAACUUGAUAGUCGAAGGAUUUGGGAAAAUCCGCCAUAGAUGGUGAUAGCCCAGUAGAUUAAAUCAAAUUCUCUCAGUUCAGGAUCCUGAGUACGGCGGAACACGUGAAAUUCCGUCGGAAUCCGGGAGGACCAUCUCCCAAGGCUAAAUACUACCUAGUGACCGAUAGUGAACCAGUACCGUGAGGGAAAGGUGAAAAGCACCCCGGGAGGGGAGUGAAAUAGUUCCUGAAACCAUGUGCCUACAAUAAGUCAGAGCGCGUUAAUGCGUGAUGGCGUGCCUUUUGUAGAAUGAACCGGCGAGUUAUGAUCCCGUGCAAGGUUAAGACUAAAAAGUCGGAGCCGUAGCGAAAGCGAGUCUGAAAUGGGCGUUUUGAGUACGAGGUUAUAGACCCGAAACCAGGUGACCUAUCCAUGUCCAGGUUGAAGGUGCGGUAAAACGCACUGGAGGACCGAACCCGUGUAAGUUGAAAAUUGCUGGGAUGAGGUGUGGAUAGCGGUGAAAUUCCAAACGAACUUGGAGAUAGCUGGUUCUCUCCGAAAUAGCUUUAGGGCUAGCCUCGGAAUUAGGAUCAUGGAGGUAGAGCACUAUUUGGACUAGGGGCCCGUCUUGGGUUACUGAAUUCAGAUAAACUCCGAAUGCCAUUGAUUCAUAUCCGGGAGUCAGACGAUGAGUGAUAAGAUCCACCGUCGAAAGGGGAACAGCCCAGACCAUCAGUUAAGGUCCCUAAAUGUAUGCUAAGUGGAAAAGGAUGUGGAGUUGCAUAGACAACUAGGAUGUUGGCUCAGAAGCAGCCACCAUUUAAAGAGUGCGUAAUAGCUCACUAGUCGAGUGAUCCUGCGCCGAAAAUGUACCGGGGCUAAGCAUACUACCGAAACCAUGGAUGCGACCAUUAGGUCGCGUGAUAGGAGAGCGUUCUAAGGGCGGUGAAGCAAGAUCGUGAGGACUUGUGGAGCGCUUAGAAGUGAGAAUGCCGGUAUGAGUAGCGAAAGAUAGGUGAGAAUCCUAUCCACCGAAUGACUAAGGUUUCCUGGGGAAGGCUCGUCCUCCCAGGGUUAGUCGGGACCUAAGUCGAGGCCGAGAGGCGUAGACGAUGGAUAACAGGUUGAGAUUCCUGUACUAGUUAAGUGCGUUUGAGCAAUGGAGGGACGCAGGAGGCUAAGAUGUGCAUUCUGUUGGAUUAGAAUGUCCAAGCAGUAAGUCUUGUGAAGAGUCAAAUGCUUUUCACUUUAAGGACAAGCUGUGAUGGGGAGCGAAAUUUAGUAGCGAAGCGUCUGAUGUCACACUGCCGAGAAAAGCUUCUAGUGAGUACUUAACUACCCGUACCGCAAACCGACACAGGUAGUCGAGGAGAGAAUCCUAAGGUGAGCGAGUGAACUCUCGUUAAGGAACUCGGCAAAAUGACCCCGUAACUUCGGGAGAAGGGGUGCUGAUCGCAAGAUCAGCCGCAGUGAAUAGGCCCAGGCGACUGUUUAUCAAAAACACAGGUCUCUGCAAAAUCGUAAGAUGACGUAUAGGGGCUGACGCCUGCCCGGUGCUGGAAGGUUAAAAGGAUGGGUUAGCUUCGGCGAAGCUCAGAAUUGAAGCCCCAGUAAACGGCGGCCGUAACUAUAACGGUCCUAAGGUAGCGAAAUUCCUUGUCGGGUAAGUUCCGACCCGCACGAAAGGCGUAACGAUCUGGGCACUGUCUCAACGAGAGACUCGGUGAAAUUAUAUUGUCCGUGAAGAUGCGGACUACCCGCGACAGGACGGAAAGACCCCAUGGAGCUUUACUGUAGCUUGAUAUUGAGUGUUUGUACAGCUUGUACAGGAUAGGUAGGAGCCAUAGAAACCGGAACGCUAGUUUCGGUGGAGGCGUUGGUGGGAUACUACCCUCGCUGUAUGACCACUCUAACCCGCACCACUAAUCGUGGUGGGAGACAGUGUCAGGUGGGCAGUUUGACUGGGGCGGUCGCCUCCUAAAAAGUAACGGAGGCGCCCAAAGGUUCCCUCAGAAUGGUUGGAAAUCAUUCGCAGAGUGUAAAGGCACAAGGGAGCUUGACUGCGAGACAGACAGGUCGAGCAGGGACGAAAGUCGGGCUUAGUGAUCCGGUGGUACCGUAUGGAAGGGCCAUCGCUCAACGGAUAAAAGCUACCCUGGGGAUAACAGGCUUAUCUCCCCCAAGAGUCCACAUCGACGGGGAGGUUUGGCACCUCGAUGUCGGCUCAUCGCAUCCUGGGGCUGUAGUCGGUCCCAAGGGUUGGGCUGUUCGCCCAUUAAAGCGGUACGCGAGCUGGGUUCAGAACGUCGUGAGACAGUUCGGUCCCUAUCCGUCGCGGGCGUAGGAAAUUUGAGAGGACCUGUCCUUAGUACGAGAGGACCGGGAUGGACAUACCUCUGGUGUACCAGUUGUGCCGCCAGGCGCAUCGCUGGGUAGCUACGUAUGGAUGUGAUAAACGCUGAAAGCAUCUAAGUGUGAAACACACCUCGAGAUGAGAUUUCCCAUUUCUUUAUGGAAGUAAGACCCCUGAAAGAUGAUCAGGUAGAUAGGUUAGAAGUGGCAGUGCGGUGACGCAUGAAGCGGACUAAUACUAAUCGGUCGAGGACUUAACCAAG